RNAcentral lists this ribosomal RNA (749 nucleotides) under uncultured bacterium. RNAcentral's name for it is "bacterial SSU rRNA". It matches the Rfam family "Bacterial small subunit ribosomal RNA", at positions 55 to 809 of the family's 1533-position model. The record is from RNAcentral.
AUGCAGUCAGCGAUGCGAUGCUUCUUCGGAACGUCAUUAGCGGCGGACGGGUGAGUAACACGUGAGUAACCUGCCUCAAAGAGGGGAAUAGCCUCCCGAAAGGGAGAUUAAUACCGCAUAAUAUGUUUUGGUCGCAUGAUCAAAAUAUCAAAGGAUUUUUCUUCGGAAAUUUCCACUUUGAGAUGGACCCGCGGCGCAUUAGCUAGUUGGUGAGGUAACGGCUCACCAAGGCGACGAUGCGUAGCCGACCUGAGAGGGUGAUCGGCCACAUUGGAACUGAGACACGGUCCAGACUCCUACGGGAGGCAGCAGUGGGGAAUAUUGCGCAAUGGGGGAAACCCUGACGCAGCAACGCCGCGUGAAUGAUGAAGGCCUUCGGGUUGUAAAGUUCUGUCUUCUGGGACGAUAAUGACGGUACCAGAGGAGGAAGCCACGGCUAACUACGUGCCAGCAGCCGCGGUAAUACGUAGGUGGCAAGCGUUGUCCGGAUUUACUGGGCGUAAAGGAUGCGUAGGCGGACAUUUAAGUCAGAUGUGAAAUACCCGAGCUUAACUUGGGUGCUGCAUUUGAAACUGGGUGUCUAGAGUGCAGGAGAGGUAAGUGGAAUUCCUAGUGUAGCGGUGAAAUGCGUAGAGAUUAGGAAGAACACCAGUGGCGAAGGCGACUUACUGGACUGUAACUGACGCUGAGGCAUGAAAGCGUGGGGAGCAAACAGGAUUAGAUACCCUGGUAGAAUCACUAGUGAAUUC